AUUGAACGCUGGCGGCAGGCCUAACACAUGCAAGUCGAGCGGAUGAAGGGAGCUUGCUCCUGGAUUCAGCGGCGGACGGGUGAGUAAUGCCUAGGAAUCUGCCUGGUAGUGGGGGAUAACGUCCGGAAACGGGCGCUAAUACCGCAUACGUCCUGAGGGUGAAAGUGGGGGAUCUUCGGACCUCACGCUAUCAGAUGAGCCUAGGUCGGAUUAGCUAGUUGGUGGGGUAAAGGCCUACCAAGGCGACGAUCCGUAACUGGUCUGAGAGGAUGAUCAGUCACACUGGAACUGAGACACGGUCCAGACUCCUACGGGAGGCAGCAGUGGGGAAUAUUGGACAGUGGGCGAAAGCCUGAUCCAGCCAUGCCGCGUGUGUGAAGAAGGUCUUCGGAGUGUAAAGCACUUUAAGUUGGGAGGAAGGGCAGUAAGUUAAUACGUAGCUGUUUUGACGGUACCAAGAGAAGAAGCACCGGCUAACUUCGUG
RNAcentral lists this ribosomal RNA (484 nucleotides) under uncultured bacterium. Its description in RNAcentral is "partial 16S ribosomal RNA". It matches the Rfam family "Bacterial small subunit ribosomal RNA", at positions 30 to 507 of the family's 1533-position model. The record is from RNAcentral.